RNAcentral lists this ribosomal RNA (917 nucleotides) under Arcobacter sp. GCDN6_III. RNAcentral describes it as "bacterial SSU rRNA". It matches the Rfam family "Bacterial small subunit ribosomal RNA", at positions 70 to 1010 of the family's 1533-position model. The record is from RNAcentral. Lineage: Bacteria; Pseudomonadati; Campylobacterota; Epsilonproteobacteria; Campylobacterales; Arcobacteraceae.
GCUUGCUAUAAUUGUCAGCUAAGUGGCGCACGGGUGAGUAAUAUAUAGGUAACGUGCCCUAGAGAAGAGGAUAACAGUUGGAAACGAUUGCUAAGACUCUAUAUGCCUUUAUCCCAUAAGGGAGCAAGGGAAAUAUUUAUAGCUCUAGGAUCGGCCUGUACGGUAUCAGUUAGUUGGUGAGGUAAUGGCUCACCAAGACAAUGACGCCUAACUGGUUUGAGAGGAUGAUCAGUCACACUGGAACUGAGACACGGUCCAGACUCCUACGGGAGGCAGCAGUGGGGAAUAUUGCACAAUGGACGAAAGUCUGAUGCAGCAACGCCGCGUGGAGGAUGACACAUUUCGGUGCGUAAACUCCUUUUAUAUGGGAAGAUAAUGACGGUACCAUAUGAAUAAGCACCGGCUAACUCCGUGCCAGCAGCCGCGGUAAUACGGAGGGUGCAAGCGUUACUCGGAAUCACUGGGCGUAAAGAGCGUGUAGGCGGGUAGUUAAGUCAGAAGUGAAAUCCAAUAGCUCAACUAUUGAACUGCUUUUGAAACUGAUUACCUAGAAUAUGGGAGAGGUAGAUGGAAUUUCUGGUGUAGGGGUAAAAUCCGUAGAGAUCAGAAGGAAUACCGAUUGCGAAGGCGAUCUACUGGAACAUUAUUGACGCUGAGACGCGAAAGCGUGGGGAGCAAACAGGAUUAGAUACCCUGGUAGUCCACGCCCUAAACGAUGUACACUAGUUGUUGUGAGGCUCGACCUUGCAGUAAUGCAGUUAACACAUUAAGUGUACCGCCUGGGGAGUACGGUCGCAAGAUUAAAACUCAAAGGAAUAGACGGGGACCCGCACAAGCGGUGGAGCAUGUGGUUUAAUUCGACGAUACACGAAGAACCUUACCUGGACUUGACAUAGUAAGAACUUUCUAGAGAUAGA